Spinacia oleracea (spinach) is the source of this 3589-nucleotide long non-coding RNA. RefSeq lists it as uncharacterized. The record is from RefSeq and is a predicted model, not a curated record. The transcript is spliced from 11 exons. NCBI's taxonomy places the organism in Eukaryota, Viridiplantae, Streptophyta, Magnoliopsida, Caryophyllales, Amaranthaceae.
ACCAUUAUGAUUUUUUGUUUUAUGAAACACUUCGUAGAAAGGAGUGGAAGUAAGGAAAACUUCCCCGCCUUUUCUUCUGCCGGGGUGUCUUCCCUCUUUGAUCCUCGAGCAGCGUGCUUGAGAAACCUACUUACGCAAUGUCAAAUCUACUGAAUAUAAUCGUUACUCCGUAAAUGGAAAAAAAUUGAAGAACAAAACCGCCCAAAGGGGCAAAAACACCGCAAAAUAAAUAAAUUGAAGUGGGUUUCCGCUCGUUUGAUCAUCUUGCGAAUUUCACUUUCCAUUUUUGUCUGGUUGUAACUUGUUAUUGGAGUCUUGCAAAUGUUUUGUGGUUCCCGCUGCUAAAUUAUCGAGUCCCACAUUGAUAUAUUUUCAAAUAUACUGCUUCCUUUAAUAAGCCUGGCUUCACAAUAGGGUUGUCUCUUCGGAGACAUCUGAUAAAAUUGGAACGAUACAGAGAAGAUUAGCAUGGCCCCUGCGCAAGGAUGACACGCACAAAUCGAGAAAUGGCUUUAUAUCUUCGGGAAUCCUGUUUGAAGUGAUCAUCUGAUUCAUCCUGCAUCUUAAAUAUUGGGUUUUCUCACAUUGAGAAGUGACAUUUGAGGUUGGAAUGGCCAGAAAAACUGAUUGAGGCUUUAUAUCUUCGGGAAUCCUGUUUGAAGUGAUCAUCUGAUUCAUCCUGCACCUUAAAUAUUGGGUUUUCUCACAUUGAGAAGUGACAUUUGAGGUUGGAAUGGCCAGAAAAACUGAUUGAGGCUUUAUAUCUUCGGGAAUCCUGUUUGAAGUGAUCAUCUGAUUCAUCCUGCAUCUUAAAUAUUGGGUUUUCUCACAUUGAGAAGUGACAUUUGAGGUUGGAAUGGCCAGAAAAACUGAUUGAGCACAACUUGUUCAAUCCUCUGAAGUGUCUGCAUUUAUGCUGCAAUUCUUGACUCUGGUACCUUAUGCCCUUUUGUGCCAUGAUAUACGGAUUGUUGGCCUUUUUUCCUCCCUACCGGACUGCUGGCAGCUGAUUUCUUCACACACCCUAAAUAAAUGGCUAAUAUGAAAGGACUUGUAACGGAAUCUGCCACAGUUAUUCUGAUUUCUUUGUCUGUAAACAGGCCAAAUGGUGAAUCCUUUAAUGCUUGAAAUGCUGAAGUCAUUUGAUGUAUAAGAAGGCAGUAAUUGGAAAAUUUCCGGAUUAGGUGAUCCCACUUUGAAUUGCUGAAGGAUGAGGUAGAAGUUACAAGAAUUGGAGUCUAAGAAAACCAUACCUUCCUCGGCUUUUUGGCUAAGUGCCUAAGAUCGAGUGUAGUAUCUGUUCUUAUUGGUUGCCAUUUUUAAUCAAUGGAAUUUUCUGUGAAGGAUUGCUUUCAUAUAUGAAAAUCUCAUCAUUUCAAGAAACUUCAAAGUAAUAAUUAAACAACAUAAAUAAAAUUAGAAAUUGGUCAUUCUUCCUAGUUCUGCCCAUGUAAAAUGAUGUCUUUUUAGAGGCAAUAUUGCUCCCAAUUUCUGCUUGUCUUGUUUACUUCACAAAACUAGAGUUCAGUUUUCCCAGUACUUCACAACACUUUAUGCAGCUAAUCUUGUUAACUAUAGGAUAUAGGAUAAUGUCAUGUUUAGGCUGAUGAGUUCAUUAAGGUAUUGUGCUGUUGUUUUAUUCUUAGAAAUUUGUUCUUUAAUGUUUAAUUUAAGUAUCUUAGCUUUGAUUUAUGGAAUUAUCCCGUUUGAUGCCUACUUGUUCUAUGUAAUGAAUUAAUGGUAUUUGAAAUCGCUAACUCAAUCUAUUGUCUGAAAACAAUUGAAUUUACAUGGGAUUUGAAAGACUGAAACGAAGUAUGUUGUAUUUACAUUUCAGGCUCGUGAUUCAUUCUUUUACUUUCGCUUGCCCUUUUACAGGGCCAAACAACAACUGUCCAGGUUCUACCCUUAUCAAGACAAUAUCCGUGGAGGUUCAAUGGCCAAACAACAACUGUUCAACCCUUAUCAAGACAAAAUUCGUGGAGGUUAAAUGAGAAUGAGAUAGCAAGCGUUGCCUAUGUGGUGCACUACAUCACCGGCUGGAGCACCCCAUUAAUUCCUAGUUUAAGCAGCAAGGAUUGUGCUUUUGUUCAUUCUAAAUUCCACACAAAGAUAAAAUUAUAGUUGGUUUGAAUUAUAUUAGUACACCACAAAACUAAUUGGUAUCUUGACAUUGUUUAGUAUCAGAAUGACAUCAAUUGUAGUUGCAACGAUUAUCAUAUUGUCCCAUCAAGGAUGACACGAUUAGGACUUCCGGCAAAAUGUUGCUGAAUUUGAUCUGGCAUCAAACAUUUAAAACAUUGGUCUUUCUUCCCGCAAGUUAGGUCAGACAAAUCCUUCAAGCGUUUAUUUAUAGAGGUAAAUUCUUUUACUAAACUUUCCUCCACUUUGAUGAUUUUACUAGUAAGAUCAAUUGCAUUUCAAGCUUGUAAAUACAUCUGAAAUGUAAAUAUAAUGUUUUUUUAAUUAUGCUACCAAGAGAUCUAGCGAAAAUUAACUCAUGCUUGUUAUUAUUAGACCGUAAACCCCAAGUAUUAUUUUACGAAGGAUAUUCUUUUUAUUUUGUUUGAAUGAAUGUGGCUUGUUGGAGGUCUAAUAAUAACAAGCAUGAGGUUAUUUUCUUUUUAUUUUGUCAAAUGCUACACAUGGUUUGUUUAUGUGUGUUUCGGACCAAUGCAAGAAGGUAUUAAUAAAAGUACUUCGUACUCCUCCAUCCCAAAAUAGUCCAUGUACACUUACUGUAAGCCACUGAAUGCAGCGAGUGGAGUAUUACUUAGGGGCCGUUUGGUUGGGGGUAAUAAUCAAAGGGAAAGGGAAUGAGCUGAUAUCAUUCCCUUUGUUGUUGUUUGUUAGCCCUCUUUUGUCAUUCCCUUUACCCAUUUUCAUUUUUGAGUUAACCCCAAAACACUCUACACUCAUUCCCCACCCCCCCAAGAUUUUUCCAUUCCCUUUCCUCUCCUCAUUUCCCCCAACCCCCUCUCUCUCCUCUUAAUCCUGCAUCUUCAACAACAAUUGGAAGCCAUUGGAGUCUUCACCAGGCGACCACCGGCGUAACACACAGGAACUAACCUCCGACCACCAAGCUCCGGCCGCCGUUGAGGUAACGUCACGACAGCCGACGCUACCUGCCCCGCCUCCUCCUGGUUGUCGGAGACUAACGUGUGACGAGUUCCGGUGCCACUAAGGACGCAGAUCAUCGUCUUCGCCCAGGUCCAACCUCUGCUGCUGUAAGUGGAGGUCAAACCGAUGGUGAGACAAUUGGUGGUGAAGUUGAUGAAAAUAUCCAUUUGGUGUGCCUAAAUCUAAGCCAACCAUUCUCACAACAACAUUCAAAAAUAGAAAAUUACAUGUACUACCAGGAAUCAAAUUCUUUUUCUUUUUUUAUAAAAAUUAUAAACUUUUAAAAAAUCAAAACAGACAAGAGUUCUAUUUAAUCUUUGUUUGUUUUAAUCUUUGUUAAGUGGAGGUCUAGACUAAGCUUUGUUUUAAUCUUUGUUUUAAUUUCUGCUGCUGUAAGUGGAGGUUGAACAGUUCUAUUUAAUCUUUGCUUUUGUGCUGAUGGGAUUUAUUUAAACAGUUUUAUUUAAUC